Molecule: long non-coding RNA, 221 nt
Filed under: Lathyrus oleraceus (garden pea)
Lineage: Eukaryota; Viridiplantae; Streptophyta; Magnoliopsida; Fabales; Fabaceae
Description: Pisum sativum (pea) long non-coding RNA (PSAT_LNC001872)
Source: RNAcentral
AAAAUUGUUAGUUUCCUCUGCUUUGUCUACUGUUUUCAGGUGUUCAGAUAAACAUCGAGAAGAUGCGCUAAAAGCAUUGGAAUUUAUUUUAAAGGAUUUGCAACUUGAUUACUACCUUGACCUGUAUCCGGUAAGCAUUAACUUUUAUGCAUAUGUUAAUAAUGAAACACAAAUACGAUACCAACACUGAUACAUAGCCAUAACUAAUGAUUUGAAGAAAU